CAGAGUUCAUGCCCUUCGGGGUAGAUCUCCCACCCGUGUAUUUAUACCUUUGUUGCUUUGGCAGGCCUGCCUCGGCCACCGGCUCCGGCUGGUGAGCGCCUGCCAGAGGACCCCAAACUCUGAAUUUAAUGUCGUCUGAGUACUAUAUAAUAGUUGAAACUUUCAACAACGG
RNAcentral lists this unclassified non-coding RNA (172 nucleotides) under uncultured Helotiales. Lineage: Eukaryota; Fungi; Ascomycota; Leotiomycetes; Helotiales. The record is from RNAcentral.